RNAcentral lists this ribosomal RNA (1071 nucleotides) under Triticum aestivum (bread wheat). RNAcentral's name for it is "partial small subunit ribosomal RNA". The record is from RNAcentral. Lineage: Eukaryota; Viridiplantae; Streptophyta; Magnoliopsida; Poales; Poaceae.
AUGGUCUAUCUGUAUUGGAAGUUACUGAGUAAAAGUGACGUAGUAUGCACUAAUGUAGGAAACAUAAACCUCAUGGGUCUCGCCAUGCUUGUUCUACCAGUGCUCUUAGGGUUGUUUUAUGGAGCAAGUGACAUUAAUUGCUCAACAGUUCAUGGUAACACCACAGAUCACCGUUCACUGCUUGAUUUCAAAGGGGCCAUCAGAGCGGACCCAAGAGGAGCCUUGCGCUCUUGGAAUGAGAACAUCCACUACUGUAUGUGGUCGGGCAUCAAGUGCAGCACAAUGCACCCAGAACGUGUUACAGUGCUAAACCUUGCCAACAUGAGCUUGACAGGCCAAAUCACACCCUCUCUAGGAAAUCUAACCUUCCUUUGGGAACUUACACUAUCCAACAAUCUCUUCUCUGGCCAGUUGCCCUCUCUCAAUCGUCUUAUAAGAUUAGAAAGCCUUUACUUACAGAACAACUUGUUGCAGGGGAACAUUCCGAAUGCACUUACAAAUUGUUCCAAACUCCUUUUACUAGACCUCUCUUCUAACAUGCUAGUGGGUUCGAUUCCUGGAAAUAUAGGUUCCCUCUACAAUCUAAAGGGAAUUGACCUUUCCAAUAAUAGCCUCACAGGAAACAUUCCACCAACCUUCGGCAACAACACUUACUUAGAAGAGCUACGACUUACCCACAAUCAACUCAAAGGAAGCAUUCCUGAAGAUCUUGGGAAAUUGCCGAAUAUGGGGAAGAACCGGGCGGUGUUUCUCGGUCAGAAUAGGCUAUCGGGUAGAGUUCCAACAACAUUGUUUAAUCUAUCCAAGCUUAUAAUACUGGACCUAAGUAUGAAUAAGCUAAGGGGCACAUUACCAUACAAUAUCGGUAAUCUAUCUGCCGCGCUUCAAUGGCUAAUUUUGGGUGCAAACAACUUGUCUGGGACAGUGCCACCGAGCAUUGGGGCCCUAAAGAACCUAACAGUUUUAGAUCUUGGAGGAAACAACUUCGUUGGACCAAUACCAUAUUCCGUCGGGAGUCUGCCAAAGUUAUGGAAGCUUGAUCUUUCCAAUAAUCAUUUUGAUAGUUGGUAG